Molecule: ribosomal RNA, 333 nt
Filed under: uncultured bacterium
Lineage: Bacteria
Description: bacterial SSU rRNA
Rfam family: Bacterial small subunit ribosomal RNA
Source: RNAcentral
CGUGUAGGCGGUCGGUCAAGUCCGAUGUGAAAGCCCGGGGCUCAGCCCCCGGAAGUGCAUCGGAAACUAGCCGGCUGGAGCGCGAUAGAGGAGGGUGGAAUUCCUGGUGUAGCGGUGAAAUGCGUAGAUAUCAGGAGGAACACCGGCGGCGAAGGCGGCCCUCUGGAUCGUUGCUGACGCUGAGACGCGAAAGCGUGGGGAGCAAACAGGAUUAGAUACCCUGGUAGUCCACGCUGUAAACGAUGGGUACUAGGUGUUCGGGGUAUUGACCCCCUGAGUGCCGCAGCUAACGCAUUAAGUACCCCGCCUGGGGACUACGGCCGCAAGGUUAAA